CCUGACUGAUGGCACCAGCAGCAUGUCACAGCCUAGCUGAAGAGACUGUCUCUCAGGAGAGGAUGCUGUACAGAACUUGCACUACAGAUGCAUAACAAUUUCAGAUGGUGAUGUCCCUGAUGGGUCAAACGGCCGUGAAGGAAAGGGGCACAGCGUGCAUGGUGGGUCACUGAGAUAUGACUAAUAUUAGUGUAGAAAGAUGGAAGAACCUGGAAGAGAGGACACACAAGAAUACCAGCCUUUUGGAAAAAGCCCUUCAUUGUCUCCAUCAUUAAUGUCUUGUGACAUGAGAGCAACUGAUGUGAGCAUGCUCUCAUGACUUUGGAGUACCACCAAGCACCCAGAGACAGAAGCUGGCAUAUCUCAGCUGCUGUGGAGUUUUCCAGCUGUCCCUCGGCCCGGCAGAGCUUCACCUACUGCAGAGUACUCAACCAGAGUACUCCUCUCCUCCCCUUAGCUGCAAGGUUAAAAGCCAGUUUCUGUGCCAGGUAUAGAUUUCAGCUAUUAGUAUAGGAAUGAAGCAACCAUUUGACUGUUUUACAUCAGAUGUACAGCAAGCAGAAAACUUAAGAAUCACUUUUGUGACUUAAGAGACUA
Molecule: long non-coding RNA, 597 nt
Filed under: Zonotrichia albicollis (white-throated sparrow)
Lineage: Eukaryota; Metazoa; Chordata; Aves; Passeriformes; Passerellidae
Description: lncRNA (ENSZALG00000017567.1)
Source: RNAcentral